This 937-nucleotide ribosomal RNA is filed under the name uncultured bacterium. Its description in RNAcentral is "bacterial SSU rRNA". It matches the Rfam family "Bacterial small subunit ribosomal RNA", at positions 556 to 1502 of the family's 1533-position model. The record is from RNAcentral.
GGGUUUAAAGGGUGCGUAGGUUGUUCGGUAAGUCAGCGGUGAAACCUGAGCGCUCAAACGUUCAGCCUGCCGUUGAAACUGCCGGGCUUGAGUUCAGUGGCGGCAGGCGGAAUUCGUGGUGUAGCGGUGAAAUGCAUAGAUAUCACGAGGAACUCCGAUUGCGAAGGCAGCUUGCCAUACUGCGACUGACACUGAAGCACGAAGGCGUGGGUAUCAAACAGGAUUAGAUACCCUGGUAGUCCACGCAGUAAACGAUGAUUACUAGGAGUUUGCGAUAUACCGUCAAGCUUCCACAGCGAAAGCGUUAAGUAAUCCACCUGGGGAGUACGCCGGCAACGGUGAAACUCAAAGGAAUUGACGGGGGCCCGCACAAGCGGAGGAACAUGUGGUUUAAUUCGAUGAUACGCGAGGAACCUUACCCGGGAUUGAAAUGUAGAUGACGGAUGGUGAAAACCGUCUUCCCUUCGGGGCGUCUAUGUAGGUGCUGCAUGGUUGUCGUCAGCUCGUGCCGUGAGGUGUCGGCUUAAGUGCCAUAACGAACGCAACCCACAUCGGUAGUUGUUAACAGUUUUCGCUGAGGACUCUACCGAGACUGCCGUCGUAAGGCGCGAGGAAGGUGUGGAUGACGUCAAAUCAGCACGGCCCUUACAUCCGGGGCGACACACGUGUUACAAUGGGAGGGACAAAGGGCAGCUACCGGGCGACCGGAUGCGAAUCUCUAAACCCUUCCCCAGUUCGGAUCGGAGUCUGCAACUCGACUCCGUGAAGCUGGAUUCGCUAGUAAUCGCGCAUCAGCCAUGGCGCGGUGAAUACGUUCCCGGGCCUUGUACACACCGCCCGUCAAGCCAUGGGAGUCGGGGGUACCGGAAGGGCGUAACCGCAAGGGGCGCACUAGGGUAAUACCGGUGGAUGGGGCUAAGUCGUAACAAGGUAGCCG